AGGUGAAGGGAUCAGAGCCCAGGCUGCAGCAGGCGGCUGCAGAAUUUCCUGCAAGAGCCCAUUGAGAUCUCACACUGAGACACAGCUGGAAAAACACGUUCCCAGCCUGCAGGCAGAAGCAAAGCUCUAAAACAGAGGAGCUUCAAGCUGACAAACAGCCCCGAUUUAAGGAGUUAAGCUGAAGAGCUCUCAUCACUGAAAGCACAUCUGCUGCAUGCCAGCUACUUUCUCUAAGUGGUUAUGGAAAACACAGAAAGUCAGAAACGUUCUCUUGAAGUAGGAACUGUUAGCGGAAAGUAUCCCACGCUCCUGCCUCCAGGCUGCAGCAAACAGAACACCCGAGCAGCACCAGCAGAAGCCGCCUGCUGUGCCCCCUGUGAAGCACUGCCCACCCGGGGAACGUUUCAGGAUCUCCCUGCAUAGAAUCACAGAAUCGCUCAGGUUGGAAAAGACCUGAAAGAUCACUGAGUCCAACCCAGGCUGAGCGCACUGCCGCAGCGCAGCGUCUUUGGCACAGCUGGCGGGAGGAAUCGCCGCUUCCUCUCCUGCAGUUCCCUGUGCUUUCAAACCCUUUCUCUGGAAGCAAAGAAUAGAAAUAAUUCAGGAAUGGAAGCUGCUUACAAAACUGAAGGGAUUUUAAUGACUGAAUGCAAAAGGAACUACUGGGAUUCAGGCAGCAAACAGAGGCAAUUGUGGCCCUGGAUGCCUACCAGUAGUUAUGCUGUAACAGUGUCAAAGGUUAAGGCAGAUUUUCUGCAGAUCACGUAAAGAACUGUAUUACAGUUACUAGAGGGUGACUGUAAGUAAUUCAGUAGGAGAAAAAAAACCACCUGCUCCAUCUGUCAACUGAGGACUGCGUACAAAAGAAGCCUGAGAAAACACACAGCUGAAGAAAACACAGAAUUAAACCAUGGACCAAAAAAGCAGUGUGAAAGACAUCUGUCAUAUCAAGGGACUCUCCUCUUCAGACCCAGAGUCAAAUGGAAUUACGAAGACCAGAUACUUUCUUGCAGCUUCCUGCACAUCUUACUAAAUAACAUGCAAAGAGUUCAACAGCAUUCUUCUUAAAAUGAAAGAAGAAACACGUUUCGGAUAGAAGCACCGUUUAACUGAGGACAGGUGAAAGGACAAAGAGAACAAAUUUUAAAGACGAAAGGAAUCAGUACUGCACCUUUACUGGGAAUUUAAGCUGGUUGUAGACCUCUGACACAAGCAAGUUAUGACUCAGUGUUUUUCGCAUCUUCAUAAUUCGCACGAUGGCCGCAUCGAUCUGGUACUGCCGGUCCUGGAACACCCUCUCUGUAGUGCUUGCCUGCUCCUCUACCUGAUGGAUCCAUUUAGGAAGAGUUUUAAAGAGAACACAACUGUUGAAUACAUUCUUCUUCAUAUCUAAGACGAGUCUUAUUGUGAGACUCUAAGAUGUCUACUGUGAAGUACUGGACAUAAAUCCUACAAAAUAUGCAAGUCCACUGUCGUAAGAACUCGUGCUGGGAGUAAAAUCUUUGCACUGAUUUUACCUUAGCUGGAGAAUUCACAGUGGAUCUGUUCACAAAUCAGGAAAGCUCUAGGGAACGAUUGAGGUGAACAGAGCAUUCACUACUUGGAACCUCUGCUGAUCAACUUUAGAUUGAUCAACUUUAGAUUUCUAAGUUAGCACAGAAGCUCGUGUUUAAACGUCCACUGUUAAGUUUGUGCUAUCAUCCAAAAUAUACGUGCAUCCUUCACACAGAUACCAUUAUGGACAUUACAACUGAGAGGAAUAAAGCUUAUAAAUGGGCAAGCAACAAGACACUUAGCCCAAGAAUGAAAUACCUACAUUAUUAGGAAAAACAACAAGAAAUAUACCGUUUCUUUCAUCUGAA
This is a long non-coding RNA of Lagopus leucura (white-tailed ptarmigan), 1862 nucleotides long. RefSeq lists it as uncharacterized. The record is from RefSeq and is a predicted model, not a curated record. The transcript has 6 exons. Lineage: Eukaryota; Metazoa; Chordata; Aves; Galliformes; Phasianidae.